This 253-nucleotide ribosomal RNA is filed under the name uncultured bacterium. RNAcentral's name for it is "partial 16S ribosomal RNA". It matches the Rfam family "Bacterial small subunit ribosomal RNA", at positions 524 to 776 of the family's 1533-position model. The record is from RNAcentral.
UACGUAGGGUGCGAGCGUUGUCCGGAAUUAUUGGGCGUAAAGAGCUUGUAGGCGGUUUGUCGCGUCUGCCGUGAAAAUCCGGGGCUCAACCCCGGACUUGCGGUGGGUACGGGCAGACUAGAGUGUGGUAGGGGAGACUGGAAUUCCUGAUGUAGCGGUGAAAUGCGCAGAUAUCAGGAGGAACACCGAUGGCGAAGGCAGGUCUCUGGGCCGCUACUGACGCUGAGAAGCGAAAGCGUGGGGAGCGAACAGG